UAAACUGUAAAUAAGUAUUAUAUAGGUAUAAAAAUAAAUAUAGUUAAAAUAAAAAAAUGUAGCUGAUUAAAUUCAGUGCACAAAACCACAAAGGCUGUUUUUUAAAAAAUUAAUUCCAAAUACAUCAUAAAAGUUUAUUGGUUUACAAAUGAAUAAUUAGAUUAUAUCACUUGUUUUAAGGCAUACAUUCAAAACAAACCCCCAACAAUAAUCCACUAGGAGCCACAAAGUUUUACUUUCACCCUUUAGGAAAAUAAGACACUGAUUUUUUUGAUCGUCUGAAAGAUCUUUAUUGGCAUACAUGCAUAUUUUCCUUGCAGUCUCUGCACGUCUAUUGGAAUAGAAAGAAGUUCUACAGUGCUACAUCCACACAGCCAGUUAUCAGGGACUGAGUUACUACAAAACUUUAGCAAAGCAAACUCAUUCUUGCAAUGCAUUCAGGCCUUACAGCGAAUGUGUACCCAAAGGUAGAGGGCUAUACUAUUGGUAGGGUUAAGGCACUGGUUUUAUUGUCAGAAAAAACAAAUUUAGGUACAAACUGAAGAAUUUAACACAUAAAAACCUAUUACUCCCAGACUGAAGUUAAUAACACGCAUACAAGACAAACACACGUUUUAGUUGCACCCAGGCACUGAUGCUUCUACUCUACAGCCGACUCCUUUAUGUUAGUCAUUCAGAAAGCACAGGUAUACUGUCGUUGCUGGGUCCAGAGUAAUGCUUUACCCGGAGAGUUUUUCGCACAUCAUUCAAAUGCAGCAGUCUCAUACACCGUCCUCAUUUUACCACACAGACUAUCCAAGCUCUUGAUUUUUCCUCCAUCUACAAAAAAACAAAUUUUCCUCCAAAAAGUGGCAACUUGACAUUUUCUUUCCACUAAAACCAAAAAACAGUUGUAAAAACAAAACAAAAAAAAGCCGCAGGACUACCGGAGGAGCACGGCAACACAAUCAAAGAUGACAGUACGGCACACAAAGGCAAUCUGAUUACAUUUUGCGAUUACCCUUAAUAUUCUAACAUAAACACUUAAAAACACACAAAAAUGUAUAGUAAAUAACAUAGCAGAUAAACAUAAACGAGUCAGUUUAUAAAAUCGGCCGCGAGGGGAAUCAAGUAUGGAAGAAGGGUGACGGCGUCCAUCCUCUUCUUCCGAGUGUCCUCACUUAAACCUCUUUUGUGCUGGUCUUGGACUUCUCCACCGUGUCCUGAGGUCAAAUAAAAAAAAUAAAAAUAAAAUACAAAACAAUUAUGAAAAUACCCAUAUGUUUGGAUAUUUUUCUUUACUUGAUGAUAAUAAGAAAAAGCUCAAUUU
This 1309-nucleotide long non-coding RNA is filed under the name Oryzias javanicus (javanese ricefish). RNAcentral describes it as "lncRNA (ENSOJAG00000008372.1)". Lineage: Eukaryota; Metazoa; Chordata; Actinopteri; Beloniformes; Adrianichthyidae. The record is from RNAcentral.